ACAGGGAGGUAGUGACAAGAAAUAACAAUACAGGACUUUACGGUUUUGUAAUUGGAAUGAGUUAAGUAUAAACCCCUUUACAAGUAUCAAUUGGAGGGCAAGUCUGGUGCCAGCAGCCGCGGUAAUUCCAGCUCCAAUAGCGUAUAUUAAAGUUGUUGCAGUUAAAAAGCUCGUAGUUGGAUUUCUGUUAAUACCUUAUAUAUAAUAUUUUUUUUUAAAUAUUAUUAUGUAAGAUUAACAUAAUUCAUAUUUUUUAAGACUGAAUUUUUAGUUUUGAUAAUAUGAAAUUUUACUUUGAGAAAAUUAGAGUGCUUAAAGCAGGCUUUUGCCUUGAAUACUCCAGCAUGGAAUAAUAAUAAAAGAUUUUUAUCUUUUUUUUAUUGGUUCUAAGAUAAAAAUAAUGAUUAAUAGGGACAGUUGGGGGCAUUUGUAUUUAACAGUCAGAGGUGAUAUUCUUAGAUUUGUUAAAGACAAACUAAUGCGAAAGCAUUUGCCAAGGAUGUUUUCAUUAAUCAAGAACGAAAGUUAGGGGAUCGAAGACGAUCAGAUACCGUCGUAGUCUUAACCAUAAACUAUGCCAACUAGAGAUUGGAGGUUGUUCCUUACUCCUU
This 611-nucleotide ribosomal RNA is filed under the name Cryptosporidium felis. Its description in RNAcentral is "partial small subunit ribosomal RNA". It matches the Rfam family "Eukaryotic small subunit ribosomal RNA", at positions 456 to 1080 of the family's 1831-position model. The record is from RNAcentral. Lineage: Eukaryota; Apicomplexa; Conoidasida; Eucoccidiorida; Cryptosporidiidae.